UUCCCUUUGAAAGGACAUGGUUGAUUAUUAAACUCAACAAUUAAAUGUGUCCUGUAUAAACCCUGGCAGUACUGCAGCUUAGGAUGGGCUAGCCUUGGGUCACGAACAGUGUCUCUACGGCCACCUACUAAGGAUCUACACAAACGCUAUCUCCACCAUCAUACUGUGUGAAAUCUGUAGUGUGCAAUUAGAAUAGAUAAUGCAUGAGACACAAUAUAAUAAAUACUACAUACGCGCAAUGAGCAUAUACGAAGUCAUCAGUACAUGAGUGCUGAAUCAGACUUCCGUAGCUCUAUUAUUAUUUUUUUUCUUUUUUGGCCACCCCAGGGCAUAUGGAAUUCCCAAGGCCAGAGUUCAGAUCUGAGUCACAGUUGUGACCUACACCGCAGCUAUGGCUACGCUGGAUCCUUACCCCACUGUGCCGGGGCAGGGAUGGAACCUGGUCCCAGCGCUCCAGAGACACUGCUGAUCCUGCUGUGCCACAGUGGGAACUGCUCAUGGCUCUAUUUUUAUUUUUAUUUUACUUUGUCUUUUUUUUGCUAUUUCUUGGGCUGCUGCCAUGGCAUAUGGAGGUUCCCAGGCUAGGGGUCCAACUGGAGCUGUAGCCACCAGCCUACGCCAGAGCCACAGCAACGCGGGAUCCGAGCCGCAUCUGCAACCUACACCACAGCUCAUGGCAACACCGGAUCCUUAACCCACUAAAGCAAGGCCAGGGAUCGAACCUGCGAGCUCAUGGUUCCUAGUGGGAUUCGUUAACCACCGAAAAGGCUUCUCCAUUCUCGCCUUCCAUCCUACAUACAUUAUACAUUUUGAAAUUUAUGAAGUCCUGAAAUGUAAGGGUCUGAGUUCAGAAAUGACAGGAUAUUCUUGUGUAUGUUCACGUAUAAAUUGAGUGCAAUGCGUGUACUCUUUGAUUCCACAGGUAUUCACUGAAGGCUCUGAUGGUUCAUUUUAUAUGUCAGUGUGACCAGGCCCAGACAUUGGUCAAACGUGAUUCUGGGUGUGUCAGGGAGGGUGCUUUUUGGGUGAGAUUAACACCUGAAUCAGAAGACUGAGUAGAGUAGACUGCCCACCCGUGUGGGUGGGCCUCAUCUGAGCAGUUGACGGCCUGAGUUGCAGUGGGGACGUUGGUCACCUUCUGCUUUCUGAGUCCAACAGAAACAUCGGCUUUUGUGUUUGGAGCCCAGUGGCUCCUGGACUAGAGGUUCCCCCACUGACUCUCCCGGUUCUCAGCCUUCCCACAGCGCUGGACCUCGCCCACCAUCUUUCCCGAUGGCCAGACCUGGGGGCUUUCAGCCUCCACAGUCACAUGAACCAAUGGCUAACUGUAAACCUCUCGACGCAGACGUGGGUACACACAGAUACGGAGAGAGACAUGCUCUGGUUCUGGUUCCGCGUCUCUGAAGAACCUGCCUGAAAGCCCUGACACCCUCUCCUCGUAAGCCAUUCUGCAACGAAGGUGUGCGUGGAGGCUGGGCUGCUCCUGGGCAAACUGUCAUGUAGGAAGUGUUUGCUCUGACACUCCCGUCCUUAUCUUUGGUGGCAUCCUCGGCCCUCUGCACUCCUCUAACCGCCCCCACGCCCCAUGUCGAGCGCGGCCUGUGCUUGGCAGUGGGUGGGAGACAUGCAUGGUCUGGAAUAACCCGCCCUGCUGUGCAGCGCCCAAGACAGCCCGGGGUGAUGUCAUCUCAGGGAGUUCCUGAGACCAGGCUUGCAAAGAAAUGCCUCGUUCCCACCAUGUGCCGGCACCAAGGGGUGUGACUGCUCCAGAUGCAACAGCCACCACACCAGCUGGAAUCAAACAGCGAACAGCAGCACCGCCCUAAGGUCACGGUACUUCUACUCAGGCCGAAGGCUUUACAUGCAGGACCUCACUCAAGCCUCUGACGGAGGCACUGUUUUACACACUUCACCAACGACCUGGCCGGUGAGAGAGUCUUCAUAUGCUGCUCAAGGUCACAUAGGAAAUUACUGGCAAAACCAAACUCUGCAUCUCGAUCUCAGUCCCAAACCCGUAACGACUACAGCACUGAGAAUGAAAAACCACAUAAUGCUCUCAGAAUGGCUGAACCUCAGACUUCAGGAAAUACGGAGAGAAAGAAUUUUCCAACAGUUAUUUUCAACACCUUGGAAUUGAAUACCACACAUACAGGCAUGGAUGAUCACACAGAGAAAAGGGAUACGGUGUUGGUAAAAUUACAAAGCUGAGGGUGUUCCUGUCGUGGCACAGUGGAAAUGAAUCCAACUAGUAUCCAUGAGGAUGCAGGUUCCAUCCCCAGCCUCACUCUGUGGGUGAAGGAUCCGGCGUUGCCGUGAGCUGUGGUGUAGGUCGCAGACGCAGCGCAGAUCUGGAGUUGCUGUGGCUGUGGCGGGGGCCAGUAGUUGUAGCUCCGAUUUGACCCCUAGCCUGGGAACAUCCGUAUGCCUCUGGUGUGGCCCUAAAAAGCGAAAAAAAAACAAAAACAAAAAAUUACAAAGCUAAGCGGACUCUCUCAAAGUUGACCCUUUCUUGGGAUUUACUGUUGCACGUGUUCCAUUUGUAACAUUUCUCACUGUAGAGGUACUUCGUUAUCUUCAGCUCACACUUACCAGAGAUGCGUUUGAAAAUAAGGUCAUCGUCUUGUACAGGAGUCCUAAGGACGACCGAGAAGGCACGUAAG
This 2660-nucleotide long non-coding RNA is filed under the name Sus scrofa (pig). RNAcentral's name for it is "lncRNA (ENSSSCG00005023937.1)". Lineage: Eukaryota; Metazoa; Chordata; Mammalia; Artiodactyla; Suidae. The record is from RNAcentral.